AAAAAGGCAAACCCUAUAUUUCCGUGUCCAACUUUGACUGUCCGUCUUAUAUGAUUUUUUUUAUAAUUCGUAUUUUCAUUGUUGUUAGAUGAUAAAACAUGAUUAAUAUUUUAUGCGUAACUUAUCUUUUUAAUUUUUUUUAUAAUUUUUUCAAAUAAGAUGAAUGAUCAAACGUUGGGCACGGAAAUUAGGGUUUAUCUUUUU
Molecule: microRNA precursor, 204 nt
Organism: Oryza sativa Japonica Group (Japanese rice)
Lineage: Eukaryota; Viridiplantae; Streptophyta; Magnoliopsida; Poales; Poaceae
Rfam family: MIR812 microRNA precursor family
Source: Rfam